GGGGGUGUAGCUCAGUGGUAGAGUGCAUGCCUAGCAUGCACAAGGUCCUGGGUUCAGUCCUCAGUACCUCAU
Transfer RNA from Camelus ferus (Wild Bactrian camel), 72 nucleotides. It matches the Rfam family "tRNA". Rfam says of the family: Transfer RNA (tRNA) molecules are approximately 80 nucleotides in length. The record is from Rfam. Lineage: Eukaryota; Metazoa; Chordata; Mammalia; Artiodactyla; Camelidae.